UACAGAGGUCUCAAGCGUUGUUCGGAUUCAUUGGGCGUAAAGGGUGCGUAGGCGGCGCGGUAAGUCGGGUGUGAAAUCUCGGGGCUUAACUCCAAAACUGCAUUCGAUACUGCCGUGCUUGAGGACUGGAGAGGAGACUGGAAUUUACGGUGUAGCGGUGAAAUGCGUAGAUAUCGUAAGGAAGACCAGUGGCGAAGGCGGGUCUCGUGGACAGUUCCUGACGCUGAGGCACGAAGGCCAGGGGAGCAAACAGGG
This 255-nucleotide ribosomal RNA is filed under the name uncultured bacterium. RNAcentral describes it as "partial 16S ribosomal RNA". It matches the Rfam family "Bacterial small subunit ribosomal RNA", at positions 524 to 777 of the family's 1533-position model. The record is from RNAcentral.